GUGCUAGUAUUUUUUUGUUUUUAUGUAGUUUCUUUUUUCAAAGUUAGUUUUAUCAUGUUACUAUUUAUAGACAGUAAAAUCCACACUUUUUAAUGUAUAAUUCUACAAGUUUUGAUAAGCGCUUAAAUUUGUGGAACUGGUUUGGUUUUAAAAGCAUGUUUGAAAUGUUUGAGACUUGAUGAAUCAACUCUUUUUCUCUUUUAGACUCUAAAGGACAACCUCUUCACAUUAUUAACUCUUCUAACAUAACUGAUGAACCCCUUCUGAAAAUGUUAUUGACAAAGGCAGACAUUGAUGGACCAGAAUUUAAAACCAUUCAUGAAAAUACCAAACAGAGAGUGAAGGUAAAUCUUUUAUAAUAUGCUAUAAGGCUGAGUUGUAUAAUGAUUAAAUCUAGCUUCACAACUAU
RNAcentral lists this long non-coding RNA (409 nucleotides) under Dasypus novemcinctus (nine-banded armadillo). Its description in RNAcentral is "lncRNA (ENSDNOG00000052093.1)". Lineage: Eukaryota; Metazoa; Chordata; Mammalia; Cingulata; Dasypodidae. The record is from RNAcentral.